GAUGAACGCUGGCGGCGUGCCUAAUACAUGCAAGUCGAGCGAACAGACGAGGAGCUUGCUCCUCUGACGUUAGCGGCGGACGGGUGAGUAACACGUGGAUAACCUACCUAUAAGACUGGGAUAACUUCGGGAAACCGGAGCUAAUACCGGAUAAUAUAUUGAACCGCAUGGUUCAAUAGUGAAAGACGGUUUUGCUGUCACUUAUAGAUGGAUCCGCGCCGCAUUAGCUAGUUGGUAAGGUAACAGCUUACCAAGGCAACGAUGCGUAGCCGACCUGAGAGGGUGAUCGGCCACACUGGAACUGAGACACGGUCCAGACUCCUACGGGAGGCAGCAGUAGGGAAUCUUCCGCAAUGGGCGAAAGCCUCACGGAGCAACGCCGCGUGAGUGAUGAAGGUCUUCGGAUCGUAAAACUCUGUUAUUAGGGAAGAACAAAUGUGUAAGUAACUAUGCACGUCUUGACGGUACCUAAUCAGAAAGCCACGGCUAACUACGUG
This 497-nucleotide ribosomal RNA is filed under the name uncultured bacterium. Its description in RNAcentral is "partial 16S ribosomal RNA". It matches the Rfam family "Bacterial small subunit ribosomal RNA", at positions 28 to 507 of the family's 1533-position model. The record is from RNAcentral.